RNAcentral lists this ribosomal RNA (117 nucleotides) under uncultured eukaryote. RNAcentral's name for it is "partial small subunit ribosomal RNA". It matches the Rfam family "Eukaryotic small subunit ribosomal RNA", at positions 1675 to 1785 of the family's 1831-position model. The record is from RNAcentral.
GUCGCUACUACCGAUUGGAUGGUUUAGUGAGAUCCUCGGAUUGGUCCUGGCGUGGCGGGCAACCGCCGUGCCAGUGUGCCGAGAAGACGAUCGAACUUGAUCAUCUAGAGGAAGUAA